Molecule: unclassified non-coding RNA, 324 nt
Filed under: uncultured fungus
Lineage: Eukaryota; Fungi
Description: sequence contains ITS1
Rfam family: 5.8S ribosomal RNA (bases 1-105)
Source: RNAcentral
GAAAUGCGAAAAGCAAUGCGAAUUGCAGAAUUCCGCGAGUCAUCAGAUCUUCGAACGCAUCUGGCGCCGACCGGAUAUCCGAUCGGCAUGUUUGUUUCAGUGUCGUGUUCAGACUCACAUAACUCAAUGUGAUUGAUAUCGCACUUCAGAGUAACCCUCUGAUGUUGCUGUUAUCUCUCAUGAAGUUAGGACUGCGGCAACCGACCGAUGCAGUAGUCAGUCUUGUGCUGAUACUCAUUGGUUAGGGAGCAUACACAGCAGUCUCAAGUCAUAAACACUCUCCACAACGCAUCUGAGACAAGCAAGAACACCCGCUGAACUUAA